UGUGUAGGCGGUUCUUUAAGUUUGUUGUGAAAUCUCCCGGCUUAACCGGGAGGGUGCGGCGAAUACUGAGGGACUAGAGUACGGGAGAGGAAAGUGGAAUUCCUGGUGUAGCGGUGAAAUGCGUAGAUAUCAGGAGGAACACCGGUGGUGUAGACGGCUUUCUGGACCGACACUGACGCUGAGACACGAAAGCGUGGGUAGCAAACAGGAUUAGAUACCCUGGUAGUCCACGCCCUAAACGAUGCAUAUUUGGUGUGGGCAGUUCAUUCUGUCCGUGCCGGAGCUAACGCGUUAAAUAUGCCGCCUGGGGAGUACAGUCGCAAGGCUGAA
Molecule: ribosomal RNA, 330 nt
Filed under: uncultured bacterium
Lineage: Bacteria
Description: bacterial SSU rRNA
Rfam family: Bacterial small subunit ribosomal RNA
Source: RNAcentral